GUUGAUCCUGCCGGACCCGACUGCUAUUUGGGUGAGGAUAAGCCAUGCGAGUUGGAUGGGAUACCUAAACUUCCCAUAGCAAACUGCUUAGUAACACAUGAUCAACUUGCCCUAUGGAGAAAAAUAACCUCGGGAAACUGAGGAUAAUGUUUCAUAGUUGAAUAGGCUUGGAAAAGUUUUUCAAUGAAAGGAAUAAGAUAAAUGGAUCUUAUUUGCCAUAGGAUAGGAUCGUGGUCGAUUAUGGUAGUUGGUGAGAUAACGGCUCACCAAGCCGAUAAUCGAUAGGGGCCGUGAGAGCGGGAGCCCCAAGAUGGGUACUGAGACAGCGACCCAGGCCUUACGAGGCGCAGCAGGCGCGAGACCUCCGCAAUACACGAAAGUGUGACGGGGUUACCCAAAGUGUUCUCUUAAGAACUGUGGCAGGUGAGUAAUGUCCCCUGCUAGAAAGGAGAGGGCAAGGCUGGUGCCAGCCGCCGCGGUAAAACCAGCUCUUCAAGUGGUCGGGAUAAUUAUUGGGCUUAAAGUGUCCGUAGCCGGUUUAGUAAGUUCCUGGUAAAAUCGGGUAGCUUAACUAUCUGCAUGCUAGGAAUACUGCUAUACUAGAGGGCGGGAGAGGUCUGAGGUACUACAGGGGUAGGGGUGAAAUCUUAUAAUCCUUGUAGGACCACCAGUGGCGAAGGCGUCAGACUGGAACGCGCCUGACGGUGAGGGACGAAAGCCAGGGGAGCGAACCGGAUUAGGUACCCGGGUAGUCCUGGCCGUAAACGAUGCAUACUAGGUGAUGGUACGGCCAUGAGCCGUAUCAGUGCCGUAGGGAAACCGUUAAGUGUGCCGCCUGGGAAGUACGGUCGCAAGGCUAAAACUUAAAGGAAUUGGCGGGGGAGCACCACAAGGGGUGAAGCCUGCGGUUCAAUUGGACUCAACGCCGGGAAACUUACCAGGGGAGACAGUAGAAUGAUGGUCAGGUUGACGACCUUACCUGAUGAGCUGAGAGGAGGUGCAUGGCCGUCGCCAGUUCGUGCCGUGAGGUAUCCUGUUAAGUCAGGCAACGAACGAGAUCCGCGCCUUUAUUUGCCAACAAGAAGUUACGACUUCGUUGGGAACACUAAAGGGACCGCCGUCGAUAAGACGGAGGAAGGAGCGGGCAAAGGCAGGUCAGUAUGCCCCGAAACCCCUGGGCUACACGCGGGCUGCAAUGGUAUGAACAAUGGGCUGUAACUCCGAAAGGAGAAACCAAUCCCGAAAUCAUAUCACAGUGGGGAUUGUUGGCUGUAACCCGCCGACAUGAACGUGGAAUCCCUAGUAAUCGUGUGUCAUCAUCGCACGGUGAAUACGUCUCUGCUCCUUGCACACACCGCCCGUCGCUCCAUCCGAGUGUACUAAAAAUGAGGUUUGGUCAGACUGGUCAUAUCGAGUUUCUAGUAUGCGAGGAGGGAGAAGUCGUAACAAGGUAGCCGUAGGGGAACCUGCGGCUGGAUCACCUG
Molecule: ribosomal RNA, 1484 nt
Filed under: Promethearchaeota archaeon
Lineage: Archaea; Promethearchaeati; Promethearchaeota
Description: bacterial SSU rRNA
Rfam family: Archaeal small subunit ribosomal RNA
Source: RNAcentral